GUGUUAUUUUCAAGAUGGCUGCUGUCAUUCGACGAGAAUCGACAGCAACUGCAGAUCCCCAUAUGCCCAUACCCUCCAUACCCCUGCAUAGGAAAACUUUUGACAACCACUCAACACAACAAUCCGCCAUUUAGCGUUUUGGAUUUAGGGUGUCAGAGGUGUCCAAUAGAUGACAUAGGCGUCGUCGUUUUCAUGUGAUGGCGAAAAGUUGAUGGAAGGAACGGGAAAAGAAACAGUAGCAUACAAGUAGCCUACCAUCACUACCACCAACUUUAUUAUUAAAAAUCUUCAUUCUGCUGAAUGCAUCAUGUAGUUAAUACAGCAGUUUCUAUUGAUCUUGGUCACUACUCCAGAGUGACCCAACUGGUGUGAACAUGUUUGUUUUUCUGAACAUGUUUUUCAACAAACAAUUCAUUGACAUACAAGUAAAGCUAUGAAAAAUAUCAUAUCAUCUAGGCCAUGGGUAAUCUUCAGGUUUAUUGCAGCAGCUUAAUAGAAGAAUAUGAACAAAUGCAGGGCACAUACCAACAUGUGUUGUAUUUUUCUGAAUGUUAAACACGAGUAGUAGAUUCAACAUGACUAACUGUUUGAUGCUAAAGUUAGUUGGAACUCAACUCACUGUAUGUACAGAUAACUGGUGUUGUUGCCUUUCAGUCACAGGCAGGAAAAUUAUUCUUUUCUUCAGAAAAAUCUAGUGAAAGCCGAAAGGCAUGUCGAAUUCAAUCCAGCCGCUGCGUUCAGUCAUUUGGAACAGGAAUCUAAUGGCUGUCAAUAGGUGGCUGUGAAUAAGUGGCUGAAUGAUGUCCACCAGGUAGCGCGAGUCGGCGAGUGUCUUCAGGGAUGAUUAGCGGCCAUUUUGUUCCAAGACGCAGCAGGAGUUGGUUGUCACGUUUCUCACGAUGAAAAUUAAAAGGUGAUGUAGCACGUAGAAACCAAUUUGUCAAAUCAUUCAACUCAGACUUGGAAGUGCCUGUACAUUUCCGAAAUGGCGUGCCUCGUGCGUCUCGCUGCUUGUUCUUAGGCGUACGUCUUAUCCCAUGCAACAGAGAAAAGUAUAACUAACACUUCUUUAACGCUGGUGGUUACCUUGUUGCAGCCAAAUGGUGAAAGGUGUGACGAAAACAGAUUGAGCCUUUGUAUGCAGCAUGCGGUUGCAGCGUAAUCCAGAAAGUAGCUGUGCUGUUGUAGCUGAGCUGUUCCAUCUGGGUUCCUGACUUAAACAUGUUUGUGUUUUCAUCCAUGCCAUAUGAAAUUGCUCUGCCAGUGAUAUUUUGUGUUGCUGCGUUAAAAGUUUGAUCUGUUGUUUUGAGUUUUCAUUCAAUCAUGCAGUAUACGACUGAGGCAACCUGACCAAUGUCAGGUUUGAAACAGUCGAGAACUGCUAGAUAAAACAAACUUUCUGCGCCAAACAAAUAAUAACUUGCAUAUAACUUG
RNAcentral lists this long non-coding RNA (1434 nucleotides) under Daphnia pulicaria. RNAcentral's name for it is "uncharacterized LOC124337621, transcript variant X4". Lineage: Eukaryota; Metazoa; Arthropoda; Branchiopoda; Diplostraca; Daphniidae. The record is from RNAcentral.